Molecule: long non-coding RNA, 421 nt
Organism: Wyeomyia smithii (pitcher-plant mosquito)
Lineage: Eukaryota; Metazoa; Arthropoda; Insecta; Diptera; Culicidae
Exons: 3
Source: RefSeq, a predicted model, not a curated record
GUCUCUAUCAGGAUCACCGCAAGCCUCUGCGAAAAAAAGCGUUUCGGGGAAACGGCCACUACUCCAGUAAUAAUUGAAAACUGCCACUAUGAUACAUAAAAAUAGUGCUAUGCACUUAAAAAUAAAUUCAAACUUCUCUCAUUUUUCUCGACCAAAAAGCUAUUAAAACAUGAAAAACAUCCUCAAACCAUUUGGCGGACUCUCAAGCAUUUCAAACGGUCCAUUCUCAAACUUACCACCAUUCCCAAAUAAUGGCAUAAUUGUUCGCAUGCUGCAAAAACAGGCCCAGCUAUGAGCAUUCCCAUUUGUCUUCCGUAUUGUGUAUGUGUGCAGUUCAUCACAAAAGAACGUCUUGCGUAAAAGAGCAAUAACUCAUUUACCCCUCGUGCCCGGGCGGCGACACAAAGGAAGCCCCCCACCC